AAUUGUGGGCAAAUUUCCUUGUCAAAGCCUGAUCUCGGAAGCAAAGCGGGGCUGGACUGGUCAGGACUUUGAUGGGAGACCGCUGGGAAUAUCAAGUGUCACAAUGG
This 107-nucleotide ribosomal RNA is filed under the name Periophthalmus magnuspinnatus. The record is from RNAcentral. Lineage: Eukaryota; Metazoa; Chordata; Actinopteri; Gobiiformes; Gobiidae.